Small nuclear RNA from Bos taurus (domestic cattle), 104 nucleotides. The record is from Ensembl. Lineage: Eukaryota; Metazoa; Chordata; Mammalia; Artiodactyla; Bovidae.
AUGCUUACUUCGGCAGCACAUAUACUAAAACUGGAACGAUACAGAGGUUAGCAUGGCCCCUGCACAAGGAUGACAUGCAAAUUUGUGAAGCAUUCCAUGGUUUU